Molecule: long non-coding RNA, 1146 nt
Filed under: Naja naja (Indian cobra)
Lineage: Eukaryota; Metazoa; Chordata; Lepidosauria; Squamata; Elapidae
Description: lncRNA (ENSNNAG00000003985.1)
Source: RNAcentral
CUGGGUGGAGAAUUCUGGGAAUUGAAGUCCACAAGUCUUAUAGAUGUCAAGUUUGGAAACCCCUGCUCUAACUCUACAUGAUUUGGUUUUUUUCAAGGAUGUUGCAGGUAACACCUCUGUCCAGAUGGAAGGAAGGCCUUGGGGCAAUCAGCUUUAAAAAGCCAAAAAAGAUGCAAAGUGCCCUUGGACUGAAGGGGUAGGAAUUAAAUGUGGAAUUUGGGGCACGAAUUGGAUGAGAGAUAAUUCUUACUCUGGCUUUUCUCACUCCUGGAGUUUACCCUUAUCUUGGAAUGAAGAGUAGCGAUUGAUUAAUCUCCUGUGGGCAUGGAGGUUCAAGUGGUGGGAGGUGUGCUUUCUUUCUGGAACAACCGGAUCUGAAUGGAGUUCUUUCACAGCUCUAAAACCUGAGAUGAUUUUAACCCCAAUAGAAGAGAGUAUCUGUAGCUCAGGGUUCAACUGUGAAGUCCUUGGUGCUCUCUGAGCUUGAUGGUUUGCUUGCAGACAUUUCAUUACCUGUCUAGUUAACAUCAUCUGUGCUAAUGAGUGCAGAGUUUGCUCCCUGUUCAUCUACAGUAGCUUGCCUUGCCGGUGUUGGUGGGGGAAUAUGACUUUCUCCUUGGUCCUUCUGCUGUGUAAUUCUUCUGCUACCCAAGGAUUUGACCAAGAUCUUCUGCAUGAAGACUCAGCUACCAAGUUACAUUCCAUCUAAUAGGAUUCGAGAAUAGAAGGUGGUGACCCAAUAGAAGGUGAUGACCCAUGCUUUACACCCAACAUGAAUGACUCCAAACAUCCUAAUGCUUCAUGGUCCCAAACCUUUGUGCCUAAUACACGGCCGGAAAAUGUGGCGGCGAGUCUUUGGAGGAGGCCUCUUCUCUGCAAUUCUUAGAGCAGUGUCUCCAAUGUUAGCCAUUUGAAGAUGUGUGGACUUCAACUCCCAGAAUCCCUCAGCCAGCAUUGCAACCCUGCCUGGAAAGAAGAUUGGUCACUCCUAAUUUUGCUAGUUUGAUGCCCCCUGAGGAUGGCCUUAUUAGGAAGCAGCCCAAAGCAGCCCACCUCACUGUGGGGAGGUAGCCCUUUUAUUAAUAUGGAUUUGCAUGUCCCCUUUGAAUGCUAAAGGCUCUUCUCAGGGCGCUUUUGAAUUGUUUU